Molecule: ribosomal RNA, 379 nt
Filed under: uncultured eukaryote
Lineage: Eukaryota
Description: partial 18S ribosomal RNA
Rfam family: Eukaryotic small subunit ribosomal RNA
Source: RNAcentral
CAAUAGCGUAUAUUUAAGUUGUUGCAGUUAAAAAGCUCGUAGUUGGAUUUCGGAUGGGACUUGCCGGUCCGUCGUUACGAUGUGCACUGGCCAGUCCUAUCUUGUUGUCGGGGACUAGCUCCUUGGAUUCACUUCCUGGGACUAGGAGCUGACGAGGUUACUUUGAGUAAAUUAGAGUGUUCAAAGCAAGCCUACGCUCUGAAUACAUUAGCAUGGAAUAACACGAUAGGACUCUGGCUUAUCUUGUUGGUCUGUGAGACCAGAGUAAUGAUUAAGAGGGACAGUCGGGGACAUUCGUAUUUCAUUGUCAGAGGUGAAAUUCUUGGAUUUAUGAAAGACGAACUUCUGCGAAAGCAUUUGUCAAGGAUGUUUUCAUUAA